This 253-nucleotide ribosomal RNA is filed under the name uncultured bacterium. Its description in RNAcentral is "partial 16S ribosomal RNA". It matches the Rfam family "Bacterial small subunit ribosomal RNA", at positions 524 to 776 of the family's 1533-position model. The record is from RNAcentral.
UACAGAGGGUGCGAGCGUUAAUCGGAAUUACUGGGCGUAAAGCGUGCGUAGACGGUAGCGUAAGUCAGAUGUGAAAGCCCCGGGCUCAACCUGGGAAUUGCACUUGAGACUGCUCUGCUCGGGUGCGGAAGAGGGAAGCGGAAUUUCCGGUGUAGCGGUGAAAUGCGUAGAUAUCGGAAGGAACACCAGUGGCGAAAGCGGCUUCCUGGUCCGACACCGACGUUCAGGCACGAAAGCGUGGGGAGCAAACAGG